CCACAAUGGACGAAAGUCUGAUGGAGCGACGCCGCGUGCGGGAUGAAGGCCUUAUGGGUUGUAAACCGCUGUCAGGGGGAAGAACAUCGGAAUGAACAAUACUCAUUCCGACUGACGUUACCCCCAGAGGAAGCUCCGGCCAACUCCGUGCCAGCAGCCGCGGUAAUACGGGGGGAGCAAGCGUUGUCCGGAAUUAUUGGGCGUAAAGGGCGUGUAGGCGGCGAGGUAAGUCGAAUGUGAAAUCUCACGGCUCAACCGUG
Molecule: ribosomal RNA, 260 nt
Filed under: uncultured microorganism
Description: partial 16S ribosomal RNA
Rfam family: Bacterial small subunit ribosomal RNA
Source: RNAcentral